Molecule: long non-coding RNA, 396 nt
Filed under: Sus scrofa (pig)
Lineage: Eukaryota; Metazoa; Chordata; Mammalia; Artiodactyla; Suidae
Description: lncRNA (ENSSSCG00040055726.1)
Source: RNAcentral
ACAAGAAAUUCGUGUUGGUUCGUGAAGAAUGCUUGCUUCUUUCAUCUGUACCCCUGCUACUGUGGAGCCAUCAGCCAUAAUAUUUGUCAAGCUGAAGAUGCUAGUCCUCCUCAGUUUAAAUAUGUGUGGAGAUUGGGACUUACAGGAUCUGAAGGUCAAAAAUGUGAAGUGUUUACUGGUGAUUACUUUUUUCUCAUUGCCAAUUGCACAAAAGACACAGUCUGUGUGAACCAACCUGAAGCCCUUGGUCAUGUAUGUUGGUUCUUACAUGAAGGAAAAAGGGAGAUGUCUGUAAAUGGAUGCAGAUGUUUGACUGAAGAAAACAAUAAGAGAUACCAGUGCCUAUGUAUUCCCACAUGGCUUUGCAAAAUGUAUCUGGAAAAUACAACUGACUAU